RNAcentral lists this ribosomal RNA (429 nucleotides) under Bacteroidota bacterium. RNAcentral describes it as "Bacteroidetes bacterium partial 16S ribosomal RNA". It matches the Rfam family "Bacterial small subunit ribosomal RNA", at positions 355 to 776 of the family's 1533-position model. The record is from RNAcentral. Lineage: Bacteria; Pseudomonadati; Bacteroidota.
UAGGGAAUCUUCCGCAAUGGACGCAAGUCUGACGGAGCAACGCCGCGUGAGUGAAGAAGGAUUUCGGUUCGUAAAACUCUGUUGUUAGAGAAGAACAGCGCAUAGAGUAACUGUUAUGCGUGUGACGGUAUCUAACCAGAAAGCCACGGCUAACUACGUGCCAGCAGCCGCGGUAAUACGUAGGUGGCAAGCGUUGUCCGGAUUUAUUGGGCGUAAAGCGAGCGCAGGCGGUCAAUUAAGUCUGAUGUGAAAGCCCCCGGCUCAACCGGGGAGGGUCAUUGGAAACUGGUUGACUUGAGUGCAGAAGAGGUGAGUGGAAUUCCAUGUGUAGCGGUGAAAUGCGUAGAUAUAUGGAGGAACACCAGUGGCGAAGGCGACUCUCUGGUCUGUAACUGACGCUGAGGCUCGAAAGCGUGGGUAGCAAACAGG